CCUACGGGAGGCAGCAGUGAGGAAUAUUGGUCAAUGGGCGCGAGCCUGAACCAGCCAAGUAGCGUGAAGGAUGACUGCCCUACGUGUUGUAAACUUCUUUUAUCAAGGAAUAAAGUGAGACACGUGUGCCUUUUUGUGUGUACUUUAUGAAUAAGGAUCGGCUAACUCCGUGCCAGCAGCCGCGGUAAUACGGAGGAUCCGAGCGUUAUCCGGAUUUAUUGGGUUUAAAGGGAGCGUAGAUGGGUUGUUAAGUCAGUUGUGAAAGUUUGCGGCUCAACCGUAAAAUUGCAGUUGAUACUGGCAGCCUUGAGUACGGUUGAGGUAGGCGGAAUUCGUGGUGUAGCGGUGAAAUGCUUAGAUAUCACGAAGAACUCCGAUUGCGAAGGCAGCUUACUAAACUGACACUGACAUUGAUGCUCGAAAGUGUGGGUAUCAAACAGGAUUAGAUACCCGUGUAGUC
This 460-nucleotide ribosomal RNA is filed under the name uncultured bacterium. RNAcentral describes it as "partial 16S ribosomal RNA". It matches the Rfam family "Bacterial small subunit ribosomal RNA", at positions 338 to 795 of the family's 1533-position model. The record is from RNAcentral.